CCUACGGGCGGCAGCAGUGAGGAAUAUUGGUCAAUGGGCGCGAGCCUGAACCAGCCACGUAGCGUGAAGGAUGACUGCCCUACGGGUUGUAAACUUCGUUUAUAAAGGAAUAAAGUGAGGCACGUGUGCCUUUUUGUAUGUACUUUAUGAAUAAGGAUAGGCUAACUCCGUGCCAGCAGCCGCGGUAAUACGGAGGAUCCGAGCGUUAUCCGGAUUUAUUGGGUUUAAAGGGAGCGUAGAUGGGAUGUUAAGUCAGUUGUGAAAGUUUGCGGCUCAACCGUAAAAUUGCAAUUGAUACUGGCAGCCUGGAGUACAGGUGAGGUAGGCGGAAUUCGUGGUGUAGCGGUGAAAUGCGUAGAUAUCAGGAAGAACUCCGAUGGCGAAGGCAGCCUACUAAACUGCAACUGACAUUGAGGCUCGAAAGUGUGGGUAUCAAACAGGAUUAGAUACCCUAGUAGUC
Molecule: ribosomal RNA, 460 nt
Filed under: uncultured bacterium
Lineage: Bacteria
Description: partial 16S ribosomal RNA
Rfam family: Bacterial small subunit ribosomal RNA
Source: RNAcentral